This 638-nucleotide ribosomal RNA is filed under the name uncultured fungus. Its description in RNAcentral is "eukaryotic LSU rRNA". It matches the Rfam family "Eukaryotic large subunit ribosomal RNA", at positions 40 to 647 of the family's 3401-position model. Lineage: Eukaryota; Fungi. The record is from RNAcentral.
AUAUCAAUAAGCGGAGGAAAAGAAACUAACAAGGAUUCCCCUAGUAACUGCGAGUGAAGCGGGAAAAGCUCAAAUUUAAAAUCUGGCGGUCCUCUGGCCGUCCGAGUUGUAAUCUGGAGAAGCGUUUUCCGCGUCGGACCGUGUACAAGUCUUCUGGAACGGAGCGUCAUAGAGGGUGAGAAUCCCGUCUCUGACACGGACCGCCGACGCUUCAUGUGAUACGCUCUCGAAGAGUCGAGUUGUUUGGGAAUGCAGCUCAAAAUGGGUGGUAAAUUCCAUCUAAAGCUAAAUACUGGCGAGAGACCGAUAGCGAACAAGUACCGUGAGGGAAAGAUGAAAAGCACUUUGGAAAGAGAGUUAAACAGUACGUGAAAUUGUUGAAAGGGAAACGUUUGAAGUCAGUCGCGUCGGCCGGGACUCAGCCUUGCUAUCUUGCUUGGUGCACUUCUCGGUCGACGGGUCAGCAUCAAUUUUGACCGUCGGAUAAAGGCCGAGGGAACGUGGCAUCCUCCGGGGUGUGUUAUAGCCCUUGUUCGCAUACGGUGAUCGGGAUUGAGGAACUCAGCGCGCCUUCAUUGGUCGGGGCUUCGCGGCUCACGUUAACGCGCUUAGGAUGCUGGCAUAAUGGCUUUAAGCGA